Transfer RNA from Felis catus (domestic cat), 85 nucleotides. It matches the Rfam family "tRNA". From Rfam's summary of the family: Transfer RNA (tRNA) molecules are approximately 80 nucleotides in length. Their secondary structure includes four short double-helical elements and three loops (D, anti-codon, and T loops). NCBI's taxonomy places the organism in Eukaryota, Metazoa, Chordata, Mammalia, Carnivora, Felidae. The record is from Rfam.
GCCUGGGUGGCUCAGUCGGUUGAGCGUCCGACUUCGGCUCAGGUCAUGAUCUCGCGGUCCGUGAGUUCGAGCCCCGCAUCAGGCU